RNAcentral lists this ribosomal RNA (2912 nucleotides) under Gallionellales bacterium GWA2_54_124. RNAcentral's name for it is "bacterial LSU rRNA". It matches the Rfam family "Bacterial large subunit ribosomal RNA". The record is from RNAcentral. Lineage: Bacteria; Pseudomonadati; Pseudomonadota; Betaproteobacteria; Nitrosomonadales.
GUUAUAGGGUCAAGCGAAUAAGUGCAUGUGGUGGAUGCCUUGGCGAUUACAGGCGAUGAAAGACGUGAUAGCCUGCGAAAAGCUACGGGGAGCUGGCAAUAAGCUUUGAUCCGUAGAUAUCUGAAUGGGGAGACCCGGCCCUUCGGGGUCACUCGAAGCUGAAUACAUAGGCUUCGUAGAGCGAACUCAGGGAACUGAAACAUCUAAGUACCUGAAGGAAAAGAAAUCAACCGAGAUUCCGUAAGUAGUGGCGAGCGAACACGGAGCAGCCUGUAACUUUUAGCAUCAUUGUUAACCAAACAGUCUGGAAAGUCUGACCAUAGUGGGUGAUAGUCCCGUAGGUAAAAACAGUGGUGUGGAACUAGGGUUACGACAAGUAGGGCGGGGCACGAGAAACCUUGUCUGAAUAUGGGGGGACCAUCCUCCAAGGCUAAAUACUCGUAAUCGACCGAUAGUGAACCAGUACCGUGAGGGAAAGGCGAAAAGAACCCCGGAAGGGGAGUGAAAUAGAUCCUGAAACCGCAUGCAUACAAACAGUGGGAGCCGACUUGUUCGGUGACUGUGUACCUUUUGUAUAAUGGGUCAGCGACUUACGUUCAGUAGCGAGCUUAACCGAAUAGGGGAGGCGCAGCGAAAGCGAGUCUGAUAAGGGCGAUAGUUGCUGGGUGUAGACCCGAAACCAAGUGAUCUAUCCAUGGCCAGGAUGAAGGUGUGGUAACACACACUGGAGGUCCGAACCCACUAACGUUGAAAAGUUAGGGGAUGAGCUGUGGAUAGGGGUGAAAGGCUAAACAAACUUGGAAAUAGCUGGUUCUCUCCGAAAACUAUUUAGGUAGUGCCUCAUGUAUCACUCUCGGGGGUAGAGCACUGUCAUGGCUAGGGGUCUAUUGCUGACUACCAAACCAUUGCAAACUCCGAAUACCGAGAAGUGCGAGCAUGGGAGACAGACAUCGGGUGCUAACGUCCGGUGUCAAGAGGGAAACAACCCAGACCGCCAGCUAAGGUCCCCAAGACAUGGUUAAGUGGAAAACGAAGUGGGAAGGCUAAAACAGUCAGGAUGUUGGCUUAGAAGCAGCCAUCAUUUAAAGAAAGCGUAAUAGCUCACUGAUCGAGUCGUCCUGCGCGGAAGAUGUAACGGGGCUCAAACUAUGCACCGAAAUCGCGGAUAUCGAACACUCUACGGGGUGUUGAUAUGGUAGGAGAGCGUUCUGUAGGCCUGCGAAGGCAGCUGGUGAUGGCUGCUGGAGGUAUCAGAAGUGCGAAUGCUGACAUGAGUAGCGAUAAAGGGAGUGAAAGGCUCCCUCGCCGAAAGCCCAAGGUUUCCUGUUCAACGUUCAUCGGAACAGGGUGAGUCGGCCCCUAAGGCGAGGCAGAAAUGCGUAGUCGAUGGGAAACAGGUUAAUAUUCCUGUACCUCAAUAUAAUGCGAUGUGGGGACGGAGAAGGUUAGGCAAGCCAUCUGUUGGAAUAGGUGGUUCAAGCGUGUAGGGAGAUCUCUUAGGCAAAUCCGGGAGGUCAAUUCUGAGGCGUGAUAACGAGUGCCCUUGUGGCGCGAAGUUGCUGAUACCAAGCUUCCAAGAAAAGCCACUAAGCUUCAGUUGUAUUGAGACCGUACCGCAAACCGACACAGGUGGGCAGGAUGAGAAUUCUAAGGCGCUUGAGAGAACUCGGGUGAAGGAACUCGGCAAAUUUGCACCGUAACUUCGGGAGAAGGUGCGCCCCGGUAGAGUGUAGAGACUUGCUCUCGAAGCUCGAUGGGGUUGCAGUGAAAUGGUGGCUGCGACUGUUUAAUAAAAACACAGCACUCUGCAAACACGAAAGUGGACGUAUAGAGUGUGACGCCUGCCCGGUGCUGGAAGAUUAAAUGAUGGGGUGCAAGCUCUUGAUUGAAGUCCCAGUAAACGGCGGCCGUAACUAUAACGGUCCUAAGGUAGCGAAAUUCCUUGUCGGGUAAGUUCCGACCUGCACGAAUGGCGUAACGAUGGCCACACUGUCUCCACCCGAGACUCAGCGAAGUUGAAAUGUUUGUGAAGAUGCAAUCUACCCGAGGCUAGACGGAAAGACCCCAUGAACCUUUACUGUAGCUUUGCAUUGGAUUUUGAAUAGACCUGUGUAGGAUAGCUGGGAGGCUGUGAAGUAGGGACGCCAGUCCUUAUGGAGCCAACCUUGAAAUACCAGCCUGGUGUGUUUGAGAUUCUAACCUAGACCCCUUAUCGGGGUUGGGGACCGUGCAUGGUAGGCAGUUUGACUGGGGCGGUCUCCUCCCAAAUUGUAACGGAGGAGUACGAAGGUAUCCUAGGUACGGUCGGACAUCGUACUGAUAGUGCAAUGGCAAAAGGAUGCUUAACUGCGAGACUGACAAGUCGAGCAGAUACGAAAGUAGGUCAUAGUGAUCCGGUGGUUCUGUAUGGAAGGGCCAUCGCUCAACGGAUAAAAGGUACUCUGGGGAUAACAGGCUGAUUCCUCCCAAGAGUUCAUAUCGACGGGGGAGUUUGGCACCUCGAUGUCGGCUCAUCACAUCCUGGGGCUGUAGCCGGUCCCAAGGGUAUGGCUGUUCGCCAUUUAAAGUGGUACGUGAGCUGGGUUUAAAACGUCGUGAGACAGUUUGGUCCCUAUCUGCCUUGGGCGUUGGAAAUUUGAAGGGACCUGCUCCUAGUACGAGAGGACCGGAGUGGACAGAUCUCUGGUGUACCGGUUAUCACGCCAGUGGUAUUGCCGGGUAGCUAAAUCUGGAAGAGAUAACCGCUGAAAGCAUCUAAGCGGGAAACUCGCCUUGAGAUAAGAUUUCCCUAGGCUUUAAGCCUUCUAAAGAGUCGUUCGAGACCAGGACGUUGAUAGGUUGGGUGUGGAAGCGCAGUAAUGCGUUAAGCUAACCAAUACUAAUUGCUCGUGAGGCUUGAUCCUAUAACAUUA